RNAcentral lists this ribosomal RNA (468 nucleotides) under uncultured bacterium. RNAcentral's name for it is "partial 16S ribosomal RNA". It matches the Rfam family "Bacterial small subunit ribosomal RNA", at positions 28 to 507 of the family's 1533-position model. The record is from RNAcentral.
GACGAACGCUGGCGGCGUGCUUAACACAUGCAAGUCGAACGGAAAGGCCCUGCUUUUGUGGGGUGCUCGAGUGGCGAACGGGUGAGUAACACGUGAGUAACCUGCCCUUGACUUUGGGAUAACUUCAGGAAACUGGGGCUAAUACCGGAUAGGAGCUCCUGCUGCAUGGUGGGUGUUGGAAAGUUUCGGCGGUUGGGGAUGGACCCGCGGCUUAUCAGCUUGUUGGUGGGGUAGUGGCUUACCAAGGCUUUGACGGGUAGCCGGCCUGAGAGGGUGACCGGCCACAUUGGGACAGAGAUACGGGCCGGAGUCCUACGGGAGGCAGAAGUGGGGAAUAUUGCACAAUGGGCGGAAGCCUGAUGCAGCAACGCCGCGUGCGGGAUGACGGCCUUCGGGUUGGAAACCGCUUUCGCCUGGGACGAAGCGUGAGUGACGGUAAUGGGUAAAGAAGCACCGGCUAACUACGUG